CUUUGAGCAAGAGGACAAACCUGGGUAGGGAUCUCUAUGAUGUUUUCUGCGUUGCCCGUGGACGUUCAUCUUUCUGAUUUGUUAGCUGAAGAUGAGGAUCUGGAGCAGGAGCUCGGAGUGCCAUUGUUCCAUGGGCAGAUGUGCAGCAGAGAUUAGCAUUAGGAAGACAAGCAGGGCCUUCAGUAGGCAUAAGGUGAUGAGGUUCAUGCCGUUGGAUCCCACGGGUGCCCUGGGGAAGAGAUGGUUGGGAAGUCUGAGAGGAAGCAGGAGAGCUUUCGGAGCACAUGGAUGCCGUCCAGAAUGGAGAUGGUUGUGGCUCGGAAGAAAAAGAAAUCACCCAGCUCGGAGUCAGGAUACAUUUGGAGGUCCAGGCCGCCGAGUUUGCUGGUGGGGAAGAUAGGCACCAGAAAGGAAAGAGGACAUCCAGGGCAAUUUCUUCUGCCCCCCAGCCAAUCCGUACAUUGUCCAGAGGGUCUUGCUCUGUCAUCCAGGCUGGCGCGAUCUCGGCUCACUUUGACCUCUGCCUCCUGGGUUCAAGCGAUUCUCCUGUCACAGCCUCCUGAGCAGCUGGGAUUACAGGCAGGCACCACCAUGCUGAGCUAAUUUUUGUAUUUUUAGUAGAGACCAGGUUUCGCCAUGUUGCCCAGGCUACUCUCGAACUCCUGGCCUCAUGUGAUCCGCCCACCUCAGCCUCCCAAAGUGCUGGGAUUACAGGCGUGAGCCACUGCAACCAGCUGGAACAAUCUUGAUAUUAGGGUGAACAAGUGAUUUCAUAGCUUUCUCUGAAGGAGGAAACACUGGGAGCAUCCACCCGAGAAUCAACACUGUGGAUCAUUCUGGGGAGUUAAUAGUUUUGAGAUGUGUCCCAAGAUAAUUGUUAGCUUGAAUUACCACGUGGAUGGAACCAUGCUGAUCCUAAGAGCCAGGUAAUGGCCAAAGGUGCCAUUCAGGUGAAAUCCCCAGGUGGAAAAUUCUUCCACUUCCAAUGAUAGAAUUCUAUUACUCUGCCUAUAGUUUGGUGAAACAAGACUUUACAAAUAGAGGACAAGAUCCAUUUUGCCAAGAACAACCAUAUGGAUUUAACUGCUGCUAACAACCGUUAGGAAGGAACAUCAAUAAAAAGCAAGCCUGUGAGACAACUCCUUCCCCAAGGGGCGCUUGUUACAGAGCGCGGGCCCCAGCAGGCCUGGUCCAUCCUCCACAUUCUUUCCUCUCUGACUUAUUUUUACUUUCUGUUUGAAUUGGCUUGGUUUUAUUUUGCCCUAAACUGUGUCUGUAGUCAUCCCCCGACAGAGUUUUGAGAGUGAAAGUCCGAUCUGCCCACGCUUCACAGAACUCAAUGCGGAGCCUUCUCAGGAGUCACUUGACGUCAAGGCUGACUUUUAAAUUUGCCAAAAAGGCAUUCUUUGGGGAGCGGUCGGCACCAUCACUUUCCCUCUUUAGAGAGCUGCUACUGGCUGCUGGAAUUCAAAACCCACAAAUUGCAUUUCUAAACUUAAUUCGAUACAUAGAUGAGCGGAAAGAUCAGACAUUGAUGCUAUUGUUUUCAACCAAGAUGUUUUACUAUAUCAUUUAUAUUUUGUUUUUUUCUUCCCCCAGUUUUUAAACUUUUUGUUUGUUUGUUUUACAGGCCAAGCCUACUGCUGUUAGAAAACAUAUUUAGAAAUCACUUGGUUCUUCCUUGCCUGAACAUCAUCUAUUUAGUUAGCUUGUGUUGUUUAGAUGUGCUUCAGAUCUCAAAAAAAUAAAUUAUGUUAUUUGAAAGCUUGCUCUCUGCUUGUUUACACUAUUAAUUUAGAGUCCAGAGGAAUCUCUAAAUUUGCCUCUAGAAACCACAUAAUCACCUAAUAAUACCUUUCCUGACUCCACUUUCUGACACAAAGUGACUUUUGAAACGCUUCCAUCUUCCCUUUCUAUUUAAUGUACUGCACUCCACUCUUUUUUCCUUUCGUUUUUUCUACAGUCCGUCAUGGAGUAUUUGUUUACCAAAUGUUACUUUUCUUGGAUCCAAUCUAUUUUUGAAGAGCGCAAAAGCAAACAACUGUUUGAAGCUGUCAAGCUUCAUUUUAUUUAUGCAUGAAUAACACAAAUAACUUGAAAAUGACCUAGUCUGUUUUUCUCAGAUUUAGAUAGAAAAACUGCUUCCGGCCAAUGUUUAUGCCAAUUUGUUCAUGCCAAGUUUCCAGUUUCGGUGCCAACCGGUUUUUACAGCCAAGUUGUAAACCUUCGGUAAACAUGGCUUAUAAUGAAAAGUGCAACACAGCCUGAACCCUGGCACCAGGGGACGGAUGUAAAUUUAUUCUAAGAACAAAAUUCUAACAGGAACAGGAGGGGAGCUAGGCUGGCUACAAAGUGUUCCCACCGUAAUAUGGAAAAUGUACAGAUGAUGAUAUAUUUGAUUACUAAGAUCCCAUUAGGCCAAUUUAGGCACUUUAUGUAUUUCCUUUGCUCUGGACGCUGAGUGGUUUCAUGCUCAAUUUGAAGCAACUGGCUCAUUGUCUCAGGGUGGUUCUAGAACUUUGCCUUCAGGUGGGGCUGGGGAGGGAGCC
This 2549-nucleotide long non-coding RNA is filed under the name Homo sapiens (human). Its description in RNAcentral is "non-protein coding lnc-PFKP-16:15". The record is from RNAcentral. Lineage: Eukaryota; Metazoa; Chordata; Mammalia; Primates; Hominidae.